RNAcentral lists this ribosomal RNA (465 nucleotides) under uncultured bacterium. Its description in RNAcentral is "partial 16S ribosomal RNA". It matches the Rfam family "Bacterial small subunit ribosomal RNA", at positions 342 to 795 of the family's 1533-position model. The record is from RNAcentral.
CGGGCGGCUGCAGCAGUGGGGAAUAUUGGACAAUGGGGGAAACCCUGAUCCAGCAAUGCCGCGUGUGUGAAGAAGGCCUGCGGGUUGUAAAGCACUUUCGGUUGGGAGGACUGCUUCUAGCACUAAUAUUGUUGGAAGUUGACGUUACCUUCAGAAGAAGCACCGGCUAACUCCGUGCCAGCAGCCGCGGUAAUACGGAGGGUGCAAGCGUUAAUCGGAAUUACUGGGCGUAAAGCGCGCGUAGGCGGCUAGAUCAGUCGGGUGUGAAAGCCCCGGGCUUAACCUGGGAACUGCAUCCGAUACUGUCUAGCUUGAGUACAGGAGAGGAGAGUGGAAUUCCACAUGUAGCGGUGAAAUGCGUAGAUAUGUGGAGGAACACCAAUGGCGAAGGCAGCUCUCUGGCCUGAUACUGACGCUGAGGUGCGAAGGCGUGGGGAGCAAACAGGAUUAGAUACCCCGGUAGUC